This 253-nucleotide ribosomal RNA is filed under the name uncultured bacterium. Its description in RNAcentral is "partial 16S ribosomal RNA". It matches the Rfam family "Bacterial small subunit ribosomal RNA", at positions 524 to 776 of the family's 1533-position model. The record is from RNAcentral.
UACGGGGGGUGCUAGCGUUAUUCGGAAUCAUUGGGCGUAAAGGGCGCGUAGGCGGUCUUUUAAGUCAGAUGUGAAAGCCCUCGGCUUAACCGAGGAAGUGCAUUUGAUACUAAGAGGCUUGAGUAUGGGAGAGGGAAGCGGAAUUCCUGGUGUAGCGGUGAAAUGCGUAGAUAUCAGGAGGAACACCGGUGGCGAAGGAGGCUUCCUGGACCAAUACUGACGCUGAGGCGCGAAAGCGUGGGGAGCAAACAGG